CCUACGGGUGGCAGCAGUGGGGAAUAUUGGUCAAUGGGCGCAAGCCUGACCCAGCAACGCCGCGUGAAGGAAGACGGCCCUCUGGGUUUAAACUUCUUUUAUCAAGGACGAAACAAAUGACGCUACUUGAUGAAUAAGCCACGGCUAACUACAUGCCAGCAGCCGCGGUAAUACGUAGGGGGCAGGCGUUAUUCGGGUUUACUGGGUGUAAAGGGCGUGUAGGGGGGACUGCAAGUCAGAUGUGAAAACCAUGGGCUCAAACCAUGGCCUGCAGUUGAAACUGUAGUUCUUGAGUGAUGGAGAGGCAGGCGGAAUUCGGUGUGUAGCGGUGAAGUGCGUAGAUAUACGGAGGAACACCAGUGGCGAAGGCGGCCUGCUGGACAAUAACUGACGCUGAGGCGCGAAAGCGUGGGGAGCAAACAGGAUUAGAUACCCUAGUAGUC
RNAcentral lists this ribosomal RNA (443 nucleotides) under uncultured bacterium. RNAcentral describes it as "partial 16S ribosomal RNA". It matches the Rfam family "Bacterial small subunit ribosomal RNA", at positions 338 to 795 of the family's 1533-position model. The record is from RNAcentral.